This 4250-nucleotide long non-coding RNA is filed under the name Setaria italica (foxtail millet). RNAcentral describes it as "long non-coding RNA (SITA_LNC005822)". The record is from RNAcentral. Lineage: Eukaryota; Viridiplantae; Streptophyta; Magnoliopsida; Poales; Poaceae.
UAUAACCCUCUACUAGUUACUUUGCCACUCUUUUAAAACAUUUGGGGUAUCCAGAACUUUGAGGUACAUUUAAUUACCAGCACAUUUCAUGAUUUAUUUAUACUUCAGUUCUCCUUGAUCAUUGCAGUAAAUGCGUAAGACCAACAUAAUUUUUAGUAGUCAUUGGUCAACAGCUCAAUUAUCUGCACAAGUCUAGCUAGGUCUGUUUACUUGUCCUAUGAGAGGGAGUAGAGUACGAAUUAAACAUUAUUCUUUGACACACCCCACUAACAAAAUGGUAUUGUUAGGUUACAACAACUACAAACUUUCUUGUUUACCAAAAUAUUUCCACAGAAGAAUAUAUGGACCUUGGCUGGGACGAGAUAUGCAUGAUAAUUAAGGGGAUUUGUAGUGGCUUAGAUGCCCUUCACGAGGAAAAAAUUGUUCAUCUGGACCUUAAGCCACAGAAUAUAUUGAUGGAUGGUAACAUGAUGCCCAAAAUUGUCGACUUUGGCUUGGCAAGGCUCUUGGGCAAAAAUAAAUCAAAAACAUACACUGAGAGGGUGACAGGAACAACGUAAGGUCCCUAUCUUGCAACAACUCUUUUGUUUUUACUAUCUUCAUGGACUCAUUAUGCUUGCAGUGUCUCAAAACAAUAAUUUUUUUCUACAGCGGAUACAUGGCACCGGAAUAUUUUAAUGAUGGCAAAAUCUCUACCAAGGCAGAUAUAUUCAGUUUGGGUGUUAUAAUGAUUGAGUUAAUGACAGGUAGUAGGAAUUAUCCCCGGAGCAUGCCACAUUAUUAUUAUUCCUACACCUCGUAUGGGAAUACACUCGAUACUACCCAAGCACAGCUAGAGGAAUUCUCCGGGACUGUAAGCUGAGUUCGUUACGGUUUAAUUGGGUACUUGUAUGCUCUGUGUACGUAGGCUCGAUCACCUAUCCAACUGUGCAGGUGCUUGAAAAAUGGAAGAAAAUAUUUCAAAAAACACUGAAGGAUGCAUCACUCGUUGAAGUUUCUACCAAUCAAUUGAAGCAACUGAUUGCUAUAGCCCUAAAAUGUGUGGACAGUGACCUAAAUAAAAGACCUAAUGCAGCAGAUAUACUUCAAAUUUUUUCUCGUAAUGAAGCAGGACAAAGCUCAUGCGAUCCAUGUUGCAAAUAUAGCCAGGUAUAAUCUCUCAUCCAGCAUUGCAAUCGUAAUCAGAUGAAAAACAAUGACGAGGGAGGUUUCCAAUCAACAUAUACCAUCACGUUGCAUUGGAAAACAUAUUUUAGGUCGUCUAUUAAAAUUUUACCUUUAUUUCAUUUGUAAAUGCGAUCAAGAGAUACCCUAUGUCCAAUCAAAAAGAACAUUCUACGUAACUAAAUACAAAUACAAUAGUGACUUUAUUGCGUCCUGUUGAAUGCAGGUUAGAGAUCUCGUCAGCGUGCAGCCCACCGAACUCAAAAUACACAUGGCAGAUCCAAACAAGUUGUACCGCUCGUCAUGCUUGCUGCACCUAAACAAUAACACACUUGGACAUGUCGCCUUCAGGAUCCUAUCCAAUACUCUAGCGCGGCACUUCAUUUGGCCGAAAUUUGGUUUCGUGCCUCCCGGGUGCAGGUACACUGUUGCUGUCACAAUGCGCUACCAGCAAAAUCCACCGCCCAGCGAAGACCUGGUUUUUACACUGGAGAGCACCAGAGCGAGUGAUCAGGAAAUAAAGAACGUUAUUUCAAGGCAUUUAAUUUAUGACCACGAUGAUUUCUUUGCGAAAGCUAAAGAUAAGGGCCGUCAGGUUCACGAGGAAAAAUUAACUCCUGUUUACUCAAAUAAUGAGGUGAGUUUCCUGAAAAAAACAAAGAGUUUGUGAUAACUAAACGGUACUUUUAGUACUUAUUAUAGCUCCUGUUUAUGAAUUGCAAAACACUAUAUACUUUUUCUGUACAAUGCAUGGUCCAAACACAGACCCUCACACACGCAGUCAUUUCCUGCAAAUGGGGGCACACACAACUUACCCAUAAAAGAGAACAUAGACAUGCAAAGAAUAUUUAGAAAUGUUUAUGGGCGUAAACUUAUGUAAAAACCUUGACCAUACGUCAACCUUUUCCUGAAUGUCGUUAAUUUUUUUAAUACAAUCACAUAUUUUACAUUUCAUGUACCACAUUUAUAUUUUAUAGAAAACAUUAACUUGUUCAUAUUUGUACCCUUGCCUCCGUAUCUUACAAUUACUAUAAGGUAUUCCUUUAAUUUCGAGCCUUGGUGUUAAUCUUUACAAAACCAGAUAAAAAGAACAUAAACCCUAGAAAUUCUCAAAAGCCAGAAGCAUAUAAGCAUCAAUUCUACUUUCUAAAAAAUUACCACCUCUCCCAUUAUAAUAUAGUUUAAGGUAACCCCUCAAUUUAUCUAUAGAUUACACACCUAUACUAUUAUAAAAAUAUUUGAAUACCAUACCAUACAAAAACUUGUAUGGUUGUAUCAUUUUAAUUCAACAAGUAUUAAAAUGUGCAAACGGAUACACGAAAUUGUUCAAUAAGUGUAUAUAUGGUCACAUGUACUGCACAUAGAUGCAUUUUGCCACCGUGACAUGUGACGUUGAUCGUUUUAUGCAUGCAACAUCCUAUCUUUGCCCCUCUUUUUUUUUUUCGAAACAAGGCCUGCCCCCAUUUCCAUUGCUGGCAACCGAAAUAACAGAGUACUUGUGUACAAAUGGCAAGAAAAAGGGAGUGAAGAAGAAACAGAAAAGCGCCAGGACCAUCUAUCCUGAUUCAGUCUAAGCGCCCAGGCUGGGGGUUCUGCAUAUCGAUUACAGAUUCUUAAAGCAAGCACCAAUUACAUGUCAGGGCUCCACCAAGGUUCUACAGCCCCUCUUUUUAUUUAUGUUUUAACCGUGCAUGCAGCUCUUAUUUUUUUGAAAGAAUAGGUCGUUGAAAAUAUAAAAAAUAAAAUGAAACUUCGACGGUAAUCCAAUGAUGAUUGAUAUAUUUUUUGAAAGAAUAGGUUGGUGAAAAGAUAAAAAAGAAAAUGAAACUUCGUCUAGCAUACCAUCUUCCAUUGACGAUGUACAGCCCACAAACGCCUCCACAGCAGCACAGGAGCAAACAUUUAUGCACGAGUACCAACUUUAUAUUCAGCAAAUGUGUCUGUGCAUACGCUUUGUUAUAAUGCAGGAAACAAUAUGAAUAAUUUCUAAAAAGUAGGUACCAAAUGUUUAAACUUAGGACCGAGUUCAAAUGCAGAAACAGAACUUUAGUAUUCCAAGUCAAUUUAAAAUCACUGGAUUAAAAACCACAUAAAAAUUACGGUUACAUGAUAUAUCGACUCAGUCUUAAUUACAUAAACAAAAUUGAAAAUGAAGUUUGAAUUAUGGUUCAGACUAAAGUGGAAUUCUUGUGAAACCAAAGAGCACCGAAUCCUAUCUAAUAAAUUUUUUCAGUCAAAGAGCUACUCCGUUCACCGAUGUCACCCAUUGGCAAAGUUUUACUUUUUUAUCGUUUCACCUGUCUAUUCUUUCAAACAAACAAGAGCUGCAUGCAUGGUUAAAUCUUAGAUGAGAAGCGGGGGAUAAAUAAAGGGGCAAAUGCAUAAAACCUUCCAUGCCAUCUGUUAUGGUGGCAAAAUGUACAUCUACUGCAAACUUAGCUACUUUUUAGACCAGAGAGAUACAAUCAUGCAAGUUGCGGUACGAUUGGUGAAUUUUACACAAAAUGUUUUAAAGUAACCCCACUAAUCUUCGCUUGAACCGUGCCUGUGUAAUUGAGAAUAAUAAUUUGAAAUGACCCUAUAAUUUUGCAUCUAAUUACGAUCACAUGACUAGUUUGUGAAUUGUGAUGCAGAUAGUUUGGCCGGUUAUAUUUGGCCGAAAACUCAUAGUGUAGGAGCACAACACAUAUAUGAUGACAUGGGUGCUCUAACAAGUGCUAUCAUAACCUGUGGUGAGGAGGGUUGGAAAUUAAUUGAAAAUUUAUUGUAGGAAAGCAAAAUACAUGAGCUUGGACGUUAGUCAUCAAGCUGAACUUUCAGUUUGAGUUGGGCUCAUAUCCAUGAUUAUAUUUAUUGUCUGCCCUAGUUGAGCUGGAUACAAAGUUGUUGGUCUUGGUGGGACGUAGGAUGUCAAACUAGAUUGGAACCACUCCACACUAUAACAGAUAUAACCUUAGCGCUUGAUGGUAUAUGUGACUAUUUCUACAGUCAUUGUGUACCACGCUCUAUAUAUCUUGAGCAGUAUACUGACUUUUCUUGACUUUCCUCCUUACAUGUCAACUUCAACUUUAUUGUGGUGGUGUGUU